RNAcentral lists this ribosomal RNA (301 nucleotides) under uncultured bacterium. RNAcentral describes it as "partial 16S ribosomal RNA". It matches the Rfam family "Bacterial small subunit ribosomal RNA", at positions 509 to 807 of the family's 1533-position model. The record is from RNAcentral.
CAGCAGCCGCGGUAAUACGAAGGGGGCUAGCGUUGCUCGGAAUUACUAGGCGUAAAGGGAGCGUAGGCGGACAUUUAAGUCAGGGGUGAAAUCCCAGAGCUCAACUCUGGAACUGCCUUUGAUACUGGGUGUCUUGAGUGUGAUAGAGGUAUGUGGAACUCCGAGUGUAGAGGUGAAAUUCGUAGAUAUUCGGAAGAACACCAGUGGCGAAGGCGACAUACUGGAUCAUUACUGACGCUGAGGCUCGAAAGCGUGGGGAGCAAACAGGAUUAGAUACCCGAGUAGUCCCUGUCUCUUAUAC